RNAcentral lists this ribosomal RNA (473 nucleotides) under uncultured bacterium. RNAcentral's name for it is "bacterial SSU rRNA". It matches the Rfam family "Bacterial small subunit ribosomal RNA", at positions 355 to 825 of the family's 1533-position model. The record is from RNAcentral.
UGGGGAAUUGUUCACAAUGGGCGCAAGCCUGAUGACGCAACGCCGCGUGGGGGAUGAAGGUCUUCGGAUCGUAAACCCCUGUCGAAUGGGACGAAAGACUCGCGAGUGAAUACUUCGCGAGAGUGACGGUACCGUUAAAGGAAGCCACGGCUAACUCUGUGCCAGCAGCCGCGGUAAUACAGAGGUGGCAAGCGUUGUUCGGAAUUACUGGGCGUAAAGGGCGCGUAGGCGGCCCUCUAAGUCAGACGUGAAAUCCCCCGGCUUAACCUGGGAACUGCGUCUGAUACUGGAGGGCUUGAGUAUGGGAGAGGGAUGUAGAAUUCCAGGUGUAGCGGUGAAAUGCGUAGAUAUCUGGAGGAAUACCGGUGGCGAAGGCGGCAUCCUGGACCAUUACUGACGCUGAGGCGCGAAAGCUAGGGGAGCAAACGGGAUUAGAUACCCAUGUAGUCCCUGAGCGGGCUGGCAAGGCGCAU